This 465-nucleotide ribosomal RNA is filed under the name uncultured Streptococcus sp. RNAcentral describes it as "bacterial SSU rRNA". It matches the Rfam family "Bacterial small subunit ribosomal RNA", at positions 338 to 795 of the family's 1533-position model. Lineage: Bacteria; Bacillati; Bacillota; Bacilli; Lactobacillales; Streptococcaceae. The record is from RNAcentral.
CCUACGGGGGGCAGCAGUAGGGAAUCUUCGGCAAUGGGGGCAACCCUGACCGAGCAACGCCGCGUGAGUGAAGAAGGUUUUCGGAUCGUAAAGCUCUGUUGUAAGUCAAGAACGAGUGUGAGAGUGGAAAGUUCACACUGUGACGGUAGCUUACCAGAAAGGGACGGCUAACUACGUGCCAGCAGCCGCGGUAAUACGUAGGUCCCGAGCGUUGUCCGGAUUUAUUGGGCGUAAAGCGAGCGCAGGCGGUUUGAUAAGUCUGAAGUUAAAGGCUGUGGCUCAACCAUAGUUCGCUUUGGAAACUGUCAAACUUGAGUGCAGAAGGGGAGAGUGGAAUUCCAUGUGUAGCGGUGAAAUGCGUAGAUAUAUGGAGGAACACCGGUGGCGAAAGCGGCUCUCUGGUCUGUAACUGACGCUGAGGCUCGAAAGCGUGGGGAGCGAACAGGAUUAGAUACCCUUGUAGUC